This 490-nucleotide ribosomal RNA is filed under the name uncultured bacterium. Its description in RNAcentral is "partial 16S ribosomal RNA". It matches the Rfam family "Bacterial small subunit ribosomal RNA", at positions 30 to 507 of the family's 1533-position model. The record is from RNAcentral.
AUUGAACGCUGGCGGCAGGCCUAACACAUGCAAGUCGAACGGUAACAGGAAGAAGCUUGCUUCUUUGCUGACGAGUGGCGGACGGGUGAGUAAUGUCUGGGAAACUGCCUGAUGGAGGGGGAUAACUACUGGAAACGGUAGCUAAUACCGCAUAACGUCGCAAGACCAAAGAGGGGGACCUUCGGGCCUCUUGCCAUCGGAUGUGCCCAGAUGGGAUUAGCUAGUAGGUGGGGUAACGGCUCACCUAGGCGACGAUCCCUAGCUGGUCUGAGAGGAUGACCAGCCACACUGGAACUGAGACACGGUCCAGACUCCUAAGGGAGGCAGCAGUGGGGAAUAUUGCACAAUGGGCGCAAGCCUGAUGCAGACAUGCCGCGUGUAUGAAGAAGGCCUUCGGGUUGUAAAGUACUUUCAGCGGGGAGGAAGGGAGUAAAGUUAAUACCUUUGCUCAUUGACGUUACCCGCAGAAGAAGCACCGGCUAACUCCGUG